Molecule: ribosomal RNA, 441 nt
Filed under: uncultured bacterium
Lineage: Bacteria
Description: bacterial SSU rRNA
Rfam family: Bacterial small subunit ribosomal RNA
Source: RNAcentral
ACUCCUACGGGAGGCAGCAGUGGGGAAUAUUGCACAAUGGGCGCAAGCCUGAUGCAGCCAUGCCGCGUGUGUGAAGAAGGCCUUCGGGUUGUAAAGCACUUUCAGUCGUGAGGAAGGUAGUGUAGUUAAUAGCUGCAUUAUUUGACGUUAGCGACAGAAGAAGCACCGGCUAACUCCGUGCCAGCAGCCGCGGUAAUACGGAGGGUGCGAGCGUUAAUCGGAAUUACUGGGCGUAAAGCGCAUGCAGGUGGUUUGUUAAGUCAGAUGUGAAAGCCCGGGGCUCAACCUCGGAAUAGCAUUUGAAACUGGCAGACUAGAGUACUGUAGAGGGGGGUAGAAUUUCAGGUAGUAGCGGUGAAAAUGCGUAGAGAUCUGAAGGAAUACCGGUGGCGAAGGCGGCCCCCUGGACAGAUACUGACACUCAGAUGCGAAAGCGUGGGG